GCAUUGCUACACACCUUCACGUUUUUCUUUUCAAUACAAUAGAGUGUGAGUGCUAAUAAACGUACAAAAAUCACUUUUCAUCUAUACCAUAAUUCAUAUUAACAUCUUAGUUUUUGCUCUAGAGCUCUGCCGUCAUUUGAUUUUAAUAUGAAAGAGUUGUUGAUGGCCUAAGUUUUGCUCUAGAGCUAUGGCUUCAUUGAUAUUAACAUCUUAAGUUGUUUGCACUUUGCAUGGCCGGAUUUGUUGAUCUUAACACUUUGUUGCAAAUGUUUCUAACUUUAACAUUUGAUAUCAAAAUCAUAAUUUACCAUUAUGGUGUAUUAUCACCUUGAUGCUCUGACAUUUAAUAAUUUAAUUAACAAAAUGUUCCUCUGGGAGAGGGUAUAUUUGGCAAGAGAUUAUAUUUUAUCCCAGUAAAAUCUCUAAAAUUAUAUUUUUAAACUAAGUGUAAUUAAGGAUAUGAGCAAUUACACUAAAAUCUUCUAUACAUGGAGUAUUAUAUUUAUAUGUCUUGCUCUAUUAAGAUCUCGAUUUAUAAAUAAAUUAUAUAAUUAUGUCUCGUCCACUAACCAUUGUUUUUCUUUGCAUUAAACAAAUAAAUUAAAAAAUUAAGUAACAAUAAAUUCAGAUAUUUGAAAUAUUUGAUCUCAAACAUCAACUAUUCUAUCACUAAUAUCAACACAAACACACAAGAAUCCAAUUUUGCAUGGUCUAAUUAAGAGAGUGAAACAUCACACUUGAUAACUAACACGUAG
This 755-nucleotide long non-coding RNA is filed under the name Salvia miltiorrhiza (redroot sage). RNAcentral describes it as "long non-coding RNA (SMIL_LNC001097)". The record is from RNAcentral. Lineage: Eukaryota; Viridiplantae; Streptophyta; Magnoliopsida; Lamiales; Lamiaceae.